RNAcentral lists this ribosomal RNA (35 nucleotides) under Amicia andicola. RNAcentral's name for it is "partial large subunit ribosomal RNA". The record is from RNAcentral. Lineage: Eukaryota; Viridiplantae; Streptophyta; Magnoliopsida; Fabales; Fabaceae.
GCGACCUCAGGUUCAGGCGGGGCUACCCGCUGAGU